UACGUAGGCAGCGAGCGUUGUUCGGAGUUACUGGGCGUAAAGCGUGCGUAGGCGGUGUCUUAAGUUUGUUGUGAAAUCUCCCGGCUUAACCGGGAGGGUGCGGCGAAUACUGAGAUGCUGGAGUGCGGGAGAGGUAAGCGGAAUUCCUGGUGUAGCGGUGAAAUGCGUAGAUAUCAGGAGGAACACCUGCGGUGUAGACGGCUUACUGGACCGUAACUGACGCUGAGGCACGAAAGCGUGGGUAGCAAACAGGAUUAGAAACCCCCGUAGUCC
Molecule: ribosomal RNA, 273 nt
Filed under: uncultured bacterium
Lineage: Bacteria
Description: partial 16S ribosomal RNA
Rfam family: Bacterial small subunit ribosomal RNA
Source: RNAcentral